This 466-nucleotide ribosomal RNA is filed under the name uncultured bacterium. Its description in RNAcentral is "bacterial SSU rRNA". It matches the Rfam family "Bacterial small subunit ribosomal RNA", at positions 329 to 792 of the family's 1533-position model. The record is from RNAcentral.
UUCCAGACUCCUACGGGAGGCAGCAGUGAGGAAUAUUGGGCAAUGGCCGGAAGGCUGAACCAGCCAAGUCGCGUGAGGGAAUAAGGCCCUAUGGGUCGUAAACCUCUUUUGUCAGGGAGCAAAGGCGUCCACGAGUGGACGAAAGGAGAGUACCUGAAGAAAAAGCAUCGGCUAACUCCGUGCCAGCAGCCGCGGUAAUACGGAGGAUGCGAGCGUUAUCCGGAUUUAUUGGGUUUAAAGGGUGCGUAGGCGGAAUAUCAAGUCAGCGGUAAAAAUUCGGGGCUCAACCCCGUCGUGCCGUUGAAACUGAUGUUCUUGAGUGGGCGAGAAGUAUGCGGAAUGCGUGGUGUAGCGGUGAAAUGCAUAGAUAUCACGCAGAACUCCGAUUGCGAAGGCAGCAUACCGGCGCCCUACUGACGCUGAGGCACGAAAGCGUGGGUAUCGAACAGGAUUAGAUACCCGAGUA